This is a long non-coding RNA of Dendrobium catenatum, 2012 nucleotides long. RefSeq lists it as uncharacterized. The transcript has 2 exons. The record is from RefSeq and is a predicted model, not a curated record. Lineage: Eukaryota; Viridiplantae; Streptophyta; Magnoliopsida; Asparagales; Orchidaceae.
UGUAUAUGGUUUACUUUUCAUUGUAGCCAUUUCUUCGUUGCUGCGUGGCUUCGCGUUCUUUGCGUGAACUAGCAUCUUGAAUGAGUCCCGAAGCUUCUUCACCAUCUGUGUGUUGGAUGGGAAGUGUCGGCGGGGGGAUUUAGGUUAAUCGUUCUCGGAAACUGCUACUGAACAGCUCGGUGAUGGUGAUUUGCUUCCUCGAUGUUCCUCUCUCUACCUCCUCCCAUUGUCUCUUUGUGCUGCUCUGAACCCCUCAAAUUAUCAUGAUGGUCACACAAUGCUAUUAUUUCAUGAUCAGAUCAAUUCUGCAAAGUUUAUUAUAUUUUUUGCAUCUACAUGCCAGAUGAAGUAUCAGUUACUUUUGAAUUAUUAACAAAGAAUACUCUGUAGGGCUCAUUUGGUUGCUUGAAGUUAGAAUAUAUGAUUUCUCUGAAGUUCCACUAAUGAAAUGGUAAUAUUUUGAUGCAUUAAACAAGUUAAAAUAAAAUUAUCAUUUUUAUUAUCUUCAUUAACAUAAUUUUUGUGAUGAGGUGUAAGAUGAUAAAAUAAAAUUGUCAUGAUUUACAUGAAGUGGUGGGAGAAGCAUUUGACUAUAAUGAUUGCAAUUAGGUUUAAUACCUGUGGUCCGGUGAUCAAUCAUUUCCUACUUAAAGGAAUUUUUAAUAAAUAUUUUAGGGCUUGGUGGUGCUUGAGGAGGAUUUUGAUAGGGAAGGAUCUCAUGUUAGUGCCAUAAGCUAUAGGGUUGCAAUUGUUUAAGUGUUGAUUGGCAACAAUAUAGCCGAGAGUUGCAUUUAGAUAAAAAAUUUCCCAAUGUAUUUUGUCCUGACUUAUUAUUGUGGGUAUGUCUAAUAAAAUUUUUUGCACCCUUCUCUUGAUGUUGAAGAUUAAAUGCUAACGGCGAUGAUGAUCACUUGUCGCACUCCUUAUAGAAUUUCUCAAAGCAACAUUAUGAACCCUUGUAAAGAACUUUUGUUCUGUUGUUUGUUGUCAUGCUUCACAUUAUAAAGGUGCUACGUGAGGAAAGAAUUUCUCUUUACCAUAAAUUUGAAGUUGGUUUUGUAUGAACAUGAUUUGUUCAUCCAUCAUGUCCUCUUUUAUGGAAUCUCUUGUAGAAUUUAUGUCCAGAUGAUGGAGUUUUAUUGCUCUGAGGAGUGAUGCCUCUUGAAGAGGUGUAGUAUCAUAAUCUCUUGUUAUGAAAAAAAAAAAAAACUACGAAAAAAUAUUUAUAAUUUUCAGAAGGAUAUCCUAUCAUUAGCUUUAUCUCUACCAUGAAAUAGUGUUUGGAGGGCUUAAUCAUAUGACAAUUAUCAUGAUUAAUGACAUACAAAUAACAUGCGAUAGUGUGUUGAUGUCUCUUUGUAGUUAGAAUUUGUUAUGGAGUUGGUAAUGAUGAUUCAGAAUUUAGCCGUCGGUUGCAUGUGGUUGCUAUGGAAUAUCUCUAUAUUUCCUAUGAUAAUGAUGUAGCAUGUUUUGAUGGUGUGAAGCUUCUCAGGCAAUCACAAUCAAUGGCCAUUACCAAGGGGAUCUUGUAUAGCUUUUCAUAGAAAGCUAUGAUCUUGUAUGGAUUUUCAUAGAAAGUUGCGACGCAUGUCCUAUUUAAUGUUUUCAAUGUCAUUUAAGUUCUCACUUUUUGAUUGGUUCCUCCAUUUAUGCUUCUUUUUUAAUGGUCUACAUUUUGUGUCAUAAAGCAUUACAGGUCUCACAAACCAUCUUAUAGAAUUUUCCCUUUAAAUUUGAAGGGUACUUUUCUUUCACACAAUAGGCCCGAUGCAAUCCUCCAUCACUCUGAACAAUAUACACGAGAUAUCUAAAAUGUGUACUCUUAUUAAUGGCUUGAUCACCAAAAGUCACAAUCCCCCCAUUAAAACUACUAAAAUCAUGCUCAAUGUAUUCUAUUUUAGAUAUGCUCAAACAAAAACUUUUAGACUCUAAGUUGAUCUCCAUAAUUCAUGUUUUUAUUUAGCUCCUUCUUUAGUCUUAUUAACAUGAAGAAUAUAAUCAGCAAAAAAAAA